CUCUCUCUCUCUCCCUCCCUCUCUCUUUCUCUCUCUUGCGGGCAGAGAGAAGAAACCCACGCGCGCACGCGGUGAUGUCUUACUGGUGAUAAUUGGCCCGGGGGUCGGGUCUGACGGGAACAGAAAGUUUUGAGGGAGUUUACUGCUGAUGCAAGGUGACUGGUUGGAUAAAGAAGUCCAAAGUUAUUUUUUUAUCUGUAGAACAAAUAAAGCCUGGCCAAAGGGUGUAUUAUCACAACAUCGGGAAAUGAGACUAAGGUAUAGGACUUCUUUUAUCUUGGACUGUCCCAAAAACUCAUCCUAAGUAACCAAGCUGAAUCCCUCAG
Molecule: long non-coding RNA, 326 nt
Organism: Phodopus roborovskii (desert hamster)
Lineage: Eukaryota; Metazoa; Chordata; Mammalia; Rodentia; Cricetidae
Exons: 3
Source: RefSeq, a predicted model, not a curated record